RNAcentral lists this microRNA (23 nucleotides) under Oreochromis niloticus (Nile tilapia). RNAcentral describes it as "oni-miR-10673". The record is from miRBase by way of RNAcentral. Lineage: Eukaryota; Metazoa; Chordata; Actinopteri; Cichliformes; Cichlidae.
UUAGACCAGAUGAUACCAGCCCU